AUGAACACCGCACGCAAUACUUACUCCAAUGGGGACAAGAGCCAAACUGACAGACAUGUUGCCAAUCAAACUGACAGACUGAUUUCUGGCGAAGAAACAGAACCGAUCAAGAAGCUGUCCACACAUCAUCUUCUUGCGCAAGUUGAAGAGUUGGGGAAUCCCAACCGCUCCGCCGUCGCUACGGUCAACAGUAAAAUACCACUUUCUCUAGAAGGAACAGUAAAAUACUACAGAUCUGAAGAAAACAGUAAAAUAUCACGAGCAGGACGAAGAGAGCUCCUCAGUUCAUCAGCCGCGGCAUGA
This 303-nucleotide ribosomal RNA is filed under the name Triticum aestivum (bread wheat). RNAcentral describes it as "partial small subunit ribosomal RNA". The record is from RNAcentral. Lineage: Eukaryota; Viridiplantae; Streptophyta; Magnoliopsida; Poales; Poaceae.